GGCUUAGAGUUUGAUCAUGGCUCAGGACGAACGCUGGCGGCGCGCCUAACACAUGCAAGUCGAACGGAAAGAUUUUUCUACUCCGAGUUCUUUGCGGGCCUUUGGAUAGAGCGUCAAUCAAUGCGAAGCAUCGCAGAUGCAGAGCAUUGAUUCAGGCUUUAUUUAGAAGACUAACACAAAGGCGGAGCAGAGAGUUGGGAGUAGGAAAAUCUUUUAGUGGCGAACGGGUGAGUAACGCGUGAGGAACCUGCCUCAAAGUGGGGGACAACAGUUGGAAACGACUGCUAAUACCGCAUAAGCCCACGGUACCGCAUGGUACUGAGGGAAAAGGAUUUAUUCGCUUUGAGAUGGCCUCGCGUCCGAUUAGCUAGUUGGUGAGGUAACGGCCCACCAAGGCGACGAUCGGUAGCCGGACUGAGAGGUUGAACGGCCACAUUGGGACUGAGACACGGCCCAGACUCCUACGGGAGGCAGCAGUGGGGAAUAUUGCACAAUGGGGGAAACCCUGAUGCAGCGACGCCGCGUGGAGGAAGAAGGUCUUCGGAUUGUAAACUCCUGUUGUUGAGGAAAAAGAGGAUGGUACUCAACAAGGAAGUGACGGCUAACUACGUGCCAGCAGCCGCGGUAAAACGUAGGUCACAAGCGUUGUCCGGAAUUACUGGGUGUAAAGGGAGCGCAGGCGGGUAUGCAAGUUGGGAGUGAAAUACAUGGGCUCAACCCAUGAACUGCUCUCAAAACUGUGUAUCUUGAGUAGUGCAGAGGUAGGC
This 767-nucleotide ribosomal RNA is filed under the name uncultured bacterium. RNAcentral's name for it is "bacterial SSU rRNA". It matches the Rfam family "Bacterial small subunit ribosomal RNA", at positions 1 to 662 of the family's 1533-position model. The record is from RNAcentral.